This 2922-nucleotide ribosomal RNA is filed under the name Salmonella enterica subsp. enterica serovar Enteritidis. RNAcentral's name for it is "bacterial LSU rRNA". It matches the Rfam family "Bacterial large subunit ribosomal RNA". The record is from RNAcentral. Lineage: Bacteria; Pseudomonadati; Pseudomonadota; Gammaproteobacteria; Enterobacterales; Enterobacteriaceae.
GGGUUGUGAGGUUAAGCGACUAAGCGUACACGGUGGAUGCCCUGGCAGUCAGAGGCGAUGAAGGGCGUGCUAAUCUGCGAUAAGCGCCGGUAAGGUGAUAUGAACCGUUAUAACCGGCGAUACCCGAAUGGGGAAACCCAGUGUGACUCGUCACACUAUCAUUAACUGAAUCCAUAGGUUAAUGAGGCGAACCGGGGGAACUGAAACAUCUAAGUACCCCGAGGAAAAGAAAUCAACCGAGAUUCCCCCAGUAGCGGCGAGCGAACGGGGAGGAGCCCAGAGCCUGAAUCAGCAUGUGUGUUAGUGGAAGCGUCUGGAAAGGCGCGCGAUACAGGGUGACAGCCCCGUACACAAAAGCGCAUGUGCUGUGAGCUCGAUGAGUAGGGCGGGACACGUGGUAUCCUGUCUGAAUAUGGGGGGACCAUCCUCCAAGGCUAAAUACUCCUGACUGACCGAUAGUGAACCAGUACCGUGAGGGAAAGGCGAAAAGAACCCCGGCGAGGGGAGUGAAAAAGAACCUGAAACCGUGUACGUACAAGCAGUGGGAGCCUUUGGGUGUGACUGCGUACCUUUUGUAUAAUGGGUCAGCGACUUAUAUUCUGUAGCAAGGUUAACCGAAUAGGGGAGCCGGAGGGAAACCGAGUCUUAAUUGGGCGUUAAGUUGCAGGGUAUAGACCCGAAACCCGGUGAUCUAGCCAUGGGCAGGUUGAAGGUUGGGUAACACUAACUGGAGGACCGAACCGACUAAUGUUGAAAAAUUAGCGGAUGACCUGUGGCUGGGGGUGAAAGGCCAAUCAAACCGGGAGAUAGCUGGUUCUCCCCGAAAGCUAUUUAGGUAGCGCCUCGUGAAUUCAUCUCCGGGGGUAGAGCACUGUUUCGGCUAGGGGGCCAUCCCGGCUUACCAACCCGAUGCAAACUGCGAAUACCGGAGAAUGUUAUCACGGGAGACACACGGCGGGUGCUAACGUCCGUCGUGAAGAGGGAAACAACCCAGACCGCCAGCUAAGGUCCCAAAGUCAUGGUUAAGUGGGAAACGAUGUGGGAAGGCCCAGACAGCCAGGAUGUUGGCUUAGAAGCAGCCAUCAUUUAAAGAAAGCGUAAUAGCUCACUGGUCGAGUCGGCCUGCGCGGAAGAUGUAACGGGGCUAAACCAUGCACCGAAGCUGCGGCAGCGACACUGUGUGUUGUUGGGUAGGGGAGCGUUCUGUAAGCCUGUGAAGGUGUGUCGUGAGGCAUGCUGGAGGUAUCAGAAGUGCGAAUGCUGACAUAAGUAACGAUAAAGCGGGUGAAAAGCCCGCUCGCCGGAAGACCAAGGGUUCCUGUCCAACGUUAAUCGGGGCAGGGUGAGUCGACCCCUAAGGCGAGGCCGAAAGGCGUAGUCGAUGGGAAACGGGUUAAUAUUCCCGUACUUGGUGUUACUGCGAAGGGGGGACGGAGAAGGCUAUGUUGGCCGGGCGACGGUUGUCCCGGUUUAAGCGUGUAGGUGUGUGUUCCAGGUAAAUCCGGUUCACUUUAACACUGAGGCGUGACGACGAGGCACUACGGUGCUGAAGCAACAAAUGCCCUGCUUCCAGGAAAAGCCUCUAAGCAUCAGGUAACAUCAAAUCGUACCCCAAACCGACACAGGUGGUCAGGUAGAGAAUACCAAGGCGCUUGAGAGAACUCGGGUGAAGGAACUAGGCAAAAUGGUGCCGUAACUUCGGGAGAAGGCACGCUGACACGUAGGUGAAGUGAUUUACUCAUGGAGCUGAAGUCAGUCGAAGAUACCAGCUGGCUGCAACUGUUUAUUAAAAACACAGCACUGUGCAAACACGAAAGUGGACGUAUACGGUGUGACGCCUGCCCGGUGCCGGAAGGUUAAUUGAUGGGGUCAGCGCAAGCGAAGCUCCUGAUCGAAGCCCCGGUAAACGGCGGCCGUAACUAUAACGGUCCUAAGGUAGCGAAAUUCCUUGUCGGGUAAGUUCCGACCUGCACGAAUGGCGUAAUGAUGGCCAGGCUGUCUCCACCCGAGACUCAGUGAAAUUGAACUCGCUGUGAAGAUGCAGUGUACCCGCGGCAAGACGGAAAGACCCCGUGAACCUUUACUAUAGCUUGACACUGAACAUUGAGCCUUGAUGUGUAGGAUAGGUGGGAGGCUUUGAAGUGUGGACGCCAGUCUGCAUGGAGCCGACCUUGAAAUACCACCCUUUAAUGUUUGAUGUUCUAACGUGGACCCGUUACCCGGGUUGCGGACAGUGUCUGGUGGGUAGUUUGACUGGGGCGGUCUCCUCCUAAAGAGUAACGGAGGAGCACGAAGGUUGGCUAAUCCUGGUCGGACAUCAGGAGGUUAGUGCAAUGGCAUAAGCCAGCUUGACUGCGAGCGUGACGGCGCGAGCAGGUGCGAAAGCAGGUCAUAGUGAUCCGGUGGUUCUGAAUGGAAGGGCCAUCGCUCAACGGAUAAAAGGUACUCCGGGGAUAACAGGCUGAUACCGCCCAAGAGUUCAUAUCGACGGCGGUGUUUGGCACCUCGAUGUCGGCUCAUCACAUCCUGGGGCUGAAGUAGGUCCCAAGGGUAUGGCUGUUCGCCAUUUAAAGUGGUACGCGAGCUGGGUUUAGAACGUCGUGAGACAGUUCGGUCCCUAUCUGCCGUGGGCGCUGGAGAACUGAGGGGGGCUGCUCCUAGUACGAGAGGACCGGAGUGGACGCAUCACUGGUGUUCGGGUUGUCAUGCCAAUGGCACUGCCCGGUAGCUAAAUGCGGAAGAGAUAAGUGCUGAAAGCAUCUAAGCACGAAACUUGCCCCGAGAUGAGUUCUCCCUGAGACUUUAGGUCUCCUGAAGGAACGUUGAAGACGACGACGUUGAUAGGCCGGGUGUGUAAGCGCAGCGAUGCGUUGAGCUAACCGGUACUAAUGAACCGUGAGGCUUAACCUUACAACGCCGAAG